CCACCAUCUACCACUUCAGUAUCAAGCAAGGCUUCAACUUCACAGGCUUUCAGAGAUUUGCAAGCAAAUAAGAACCCAUUUAAGAAAAUUGGUUCAAGCUUCAGAAGAAUACCUCCAAGCAAUUCAAAUCCCAGACAGAACAAGUGCAAGCCUCAACUAGGCGACUGAAAGAAUCACAAACCAGAAGAUUCAAAGCGACAGCAUUGAGUGUAGCUGCUCUUUUUUUUUUUCUGUUUGCGUGUGUUCCAUUCAUUCUUUAACACCCUUUUUAUGUAGACUAGAGUUUAUGUCAAUACCCACCAAAUGUAAUUGCAGUUCGUAUCGCUUUUACAAUUUUUUGCUACCAUAGGCACAGACAAUUAAGUUUUACAGUAAUAUGUAAUCCCGUCAAUUUCUUAUAUGUAAAAGUAAAUGAUAAUUUCAUCUGUUAUUUGAAAAGGUCUAUGAUUCACACAUUCCAGUCUAAAACAAAA
Long non-coding RNA from Populus trichocarpa (black cottonwood), 473 nucleotides. RefSeq lists it as uncharacterized. NCBI's taxonomy places the organism in Eukaryota, Viridiplantae, Streptophyta, Magnoliopsida, Malpighiales, Salicaceae. The record is from RefSeq and is a predicted model, not a curated record. The transcript has 2 exons.